RNAcentral lists this long non-coding RNA (701 nucleotides) under Brachypodium distachyon (stiff brome). Its description in RNAcentral is "long non-coding RNA (BDIS_LNC002227)". The record is from RNAcentral. Lineage: Eukaryota; Viridiplantae; Streptophyta; Magnoliopsida; Poales; Poaceae.
ACAGAAACAAGCUUUAGGGCUAGUUUGGCAGCAGGGGAAGGAAAAUCCAGGGUUUUAGAUCCAAAGAGGGGAUUUUAGGGAGCAGACGGGAUCCCCUCGAGGAAUCUUCAAACCCGGGAAAUCACCUGUGACCCCAUUUGGUAACAAGGGCGAGAAAUCACCCCGUGCCCCAUUUGGAAACCACAAAAAAAUCAGAAAAAAUCAAGGAAUAAAAAGGAAAUAAAGCUAAAUAGGUAUACCAAAUAUAAUCACAAGUAAUUCGAAAAUGCCUAGAACUGCUUCUCCUCUCCUUCGUCAGCACAAUUUCUUACAAGCAGAUCUGUGAGAAACCAUAGAACCAGAGAGAUUGAAAGAGGAAACGGAAUCGUAGGUGCACCAGGAAGUCAGAGGAGGACGAGGCUUUGCUGGAUUGAAGAAUGGAAGCCGUGGGAGGAUGAGCCGAUCCAGAACCGGCAUGAGGAAGAAUCUACAGAAGGGGCCAUUGGAGGAGGCAGGGUGACGAUCUACUCGAGGACUUGCGAUCUGCUCGGGGACGACGCGGCUGGAGGACAGGAGGAGGGAGGUGGGCCGGCGCCCGGCGGGCGCCGAAGGAAAUUGCAGGAGAGAGGGGACGAACUCCUAGUCGCGGGAGGAAGACGAAGAGCUCGCGCGCGGAGGCGCUCUGUCCCGAGAGGCGCGUGGUUUCUUUCCCGACGUACCGA